UUCCAAGCAGAGGGUGGUGUACACGCCUGGACCCAGCUCUCCCAGCCUUCUGGCCUGACUCCUUAACGUGUGCUGGGCUGUGAAAGUCAUCUGUGAUUGCCUGGCUGCUCUACAGGCAGAAAAGCUGCUGCUGCUGCUGCUAGUGAGGCUGUGCUGUUUUCCUCUUUGUUGAUAUUUGAUAUCAUUAAUGGCCAUGGCUGCGUCAAAUGCUCUCCUCCUAGCUUCGUUGGCCAGAGAGAUCAUCCAGCCUGGCCAGAAGAAACAUCACCACAUCAGCAAAGCCAUGGCCAAACAGAUGCUGGAGCGUGAGAUGUAUCUGCACCAGGAGUUGAUUCAGUUGCUGCAGGAGAUCAAGAACAGCAAGAAUGCAGAGGAAGCGUGGCUCUUUUCUGGGUGGCUGUUUUGGACUGCUGCAGUUGGCCUGGUUCUGCUUGCUGUCAUCUGCUGGCUGGCCAGGCGGAGAAGGAAGCGCCAGGCAUCCCCUCAAUCGUUUAGAGUCUUCUGGCCUGAUCUCCCAGAAGACAUCGCUAAGAUUGAUAUUGGAUUAAGUGUUUAUGAGAACAACCGUGCAAGGCGCAACAACUUGGCCUUGGAUUUUCCCAGUUCUUAAGUUUGUCUAGGUUGUCUGGAUGGCAUCCCUUGCAUCCACUGUGUCAACUGCUUCAUUAUGUUUUCAUAUAGGACUAAGGGAGUCCUAUUAAAAUUUGGGAAAGCAA
This is a long non-coding RNA of Hirundo rustica (Barn swallow), 716 nucleotides long. RefSeq lists it as uncharacterized. The record is from RefSeq and is a predicted model, not a curated record. Lineage: Eukaryota; Metazoa; Chordata; Aves; Passeriformes; Hirundinidae. The transcript is spliced from 2 exons.